Oryctolagus cuniculus (rabbit) is the source of this 2381-nucleotide non-coding RNA. The record is from RefSeq and is a predicted model, not a curated record. Lineage: Eukaryota; Metazoa; Chordata; Mammalia; Lagomorpha; Leporidae.
GGCUCCGAUUCCUUCACACACACACCCUGGGGGCCCCAGAGAAUAAAAGUUUUGCUGGAGCCUGGGCAAAGGCGGGGUACACGGCGCCCGGCAACGCGGCACGAUCGGCGCUAAGCCGCAGGCGGCCGGCCCGGCUCUGCCUCACUCUCCCCGGCACCUCCAGCCUCGGCUCUGCUCGGCUCGGUUUUGCCUGCGAGCUCCCUCCUCGCGCCCCGGCUCGCGCUCGCCCCGCCCUGUGCGCUCGCCCCGCCCCGUCCCGCCCCCUCGAGCAGGGAUUCGAGACCCUGCGAUGCUCCCACCGAGCUGUCAGAGGCUAAGGAAGCUCUGCGCUGCUGGCGCGCGCUUGAAGCCCUGGGCGGGCCAGAGGAACACGGGGGGAGGCCACGGAGGCGUCCGCCGCCCGGCUCCUGCAGCUGGCCGUCCCCGCCGCCAGUGCGGCUCCGUGGUCAAGAUAAUGCGGACCCUGCCAGCCUUGGGCUUGGUUUCCUCGGAGCCGCAGCCGCUUGCUGGGAAGUAGAGAAGCGCACGUGAGCGUUCCCCCCUCCGGCAGGCUGCACCGUAGUGCGGUCCCGGCAUCGCCAGGCAUAAGGCAAGCGAGAAGGGACGCAUUUCUCCCGCUUCGCAAAGCGAGACGGAGAAGCUCAAGUAGUUGGCGGCAGCCUGAGCGUUUUGCUACCGGGGCCUGCCGGAGUGGAAGGCCUCACGGCCUUCUCCUGCCCGAGAACCACAGAAUGGGAGAACUCGAGUCACAUCAAGCGUGCGCGUAUGAUCAUCUCUGAAGCGGCAAGGAAGGUCUGGCCGCGACGCUGGGAUCAGGAGUUUACUAAAGCCAUGCCUAGUCGCAACCCUGCCACAAGGAGACAGGCAGCUUCCGAAUGGAGCCGCGGGGCGAGGGCGGGCUGUGAUUCUACCCUUUGGGCUGGUGCCAUGGAGUAGCGGAUAAAGCCACUGUCUGCAGUGCCAGCAUCCCAUAUGGGCACUGGUUCUAGUCCCACCUGCUCUACUUCCAAUCCAGCUUUCUGCUAAGGCCUGGGAAAGCAGUAGAAGAAGAUGGCCCAAGUCCUUGGGCCCCUGCACCUGCUUUGGAGAUGCACAAGAAGCUCCUGGCUCCUGGCUUUGAAUUGGUGCAGCUCUGGCCGUUGCGGCCAUCUGGGGAGUUACCCAUCGGAUGGAAGACCUCUCUCUCUGCCUCUGCCUCUCAAAUAAAUGGGGGAUCUUAAAAAAAAAAAGUCAUUUUCCUAGAAGUAUCUGAGGUGUUUCAUUGACUGUUGCACUGAAUUCUCACAGAACACAUACUUGUGGUGUCUGCUUGUUUUCUUUAUGUGACGUUCAAAGGAAGCAUCAAAAUAAUCACCAGCACAGGUCUAGUUAAUCUCUUUCCCUAUAUGGUUUUUCACUCUAAAUUUUCUCUAAUGUUACUUGACAUUUCAUUCGCAUCCUGAGAUGUGGCUGUCGUAUAAAUCAAUUACUACUCUAUAUUUUUUUUCAAUAGAUCCUCUGGAAAGGUCAAGGAAAGAAAUGCUCAGUUAAGUGAGAGGAAAAUGAAAAUAACAACUCUUCACUUCUAUUAUUACUGUUUAUAACAUCAGAAGCCUGAUAGUGAAGAAUGGCUAAUCAUUUUCUGCUAUUUGUUUUUAAUUUAUACCAAUUCUUUAGUCUAUUGGAAUGCCCCAUUUCUGAAAAAGGCAAACAAAAUUGCUAUUUUCUUUUAAUGGUACCUAGAGAAAAGAAUCAUGGGCUUUACCUUGUGAUUCUACUACAUACACUAUUUAAAAAUUUCUUUUCAGAAAUUACUUCUUACAAUAUAAAUCAAUUUAUAUGCAUUUUUUAUUUUGUCAGGGGGCCAGGGAGAGAAGAGGAGGGACAAAAAUGGAGAAGUUAUUGCUAUGAGAUAAAAUCUAGUUUUCACUCUUCUCCUAUAAACAUCUUUUCUUUUUAUCUUCAUAGACUUUAUCCUUUUCUUCAAGUCUCUCUUCCAGUCAUAUAUUUUGUUUUGUUUUCCCAUUAUAGUCAGCAAGCCUUAGCACGUCUCUUUUCCAACCUUUUCUUGACCACAGAACAGUUUUCAUUCCUGAAGGAAGUCUUCUGUUUCAGAAAACAAAGCCCAUGUAAUUAUCUUGCAGGCAAAAACCAUUAUAUACGUUCCCAGCUAUUCCACCAGUCUUCCCUUAUCAUUUCCUUCUGCUCUCUUUGUGUCUGAUAAUGCAUGUGCUCAUACUGAGCUACUAUCAUCUGUAUCGUCUGAUUAUAGACAUUGUGAAGGCUCAUCAUGCUUUAAUGUUUCUCAUAAUCUCUAUUCAGAGGAUAGCAAAGUCUCUCAAGCAAUGCAAUAUGUAAAGAAGCCUAUGGAUGGGCAAUUAAAUGUUCCACUUCUUUGCUCA